GAAUGGUGUUGCACCCCUCCAGUAGAGUUCCAGAAUGGUGUUGCACCCCUCCAGUAGAGUUCCAGAAUGGUGUUGCACCCCUCCAGUAGAGUUCCAGACACCUGUAGAAUCGACUUAACGGCACAUUGAAGCUGUUCUGACGGAUCCUUCUGGCCCCUACACCCUAUUAAGUUGGUGUUUCUGUUAUUUUAGCAGUUACCGGUGUGUUCUUUUUGUAAAGACAUAACUAUAGUGAAAAGCACAGAAAGCCUAACUAGUAGAAGCUACACUCCCCUACGUUUUUUAUUUUAUUUGGACAGUGAAGCUAAAACUUUUACUUUGGCACUUCAGUAUACUCCAGCAUUUUGGGAUUUGAGAUCACAUGUUUAUAUGAGUAGACAGUACAGAAAGCCAUCUUUUUUAUCUGAGGGACUUUUCAUACGUAUCUGUUUUAUAGUUUAGAAAUGAAUGCACUUUAUGUAUCUAGUCCCCUCCAUUUGAAUUACUAUUUGGACAAAUGAACUUUAUAGUGUUUUAACAGUUUGUAAAACAAAAAGUGGUAUUUGGUCCCAUAUUCCUUGCACACAAUGACUGCAUCAAUCUUGUGACUCUAGAAACUUGUUGGAUGCAUUUACAGUUUGUUUUGUUUGUGUUUCGGAUUAUAUUGUGCCCAAUAGAAAUGAUUUAAAAAAAUAUAUAUUUUACUUCUGUUUAACUAGACAAGUGAGUUAAGAACAAAAUCUUAUUUUCAAUGACGGCCUAGGAACAGUGGGUUAACUGCCUUGUUCAGGGGUAGAAUGACAGAUUUUUUUACCUUGUCUGCUCAGGGAUUCGAUUUUGCCAUCUUUCGUUUAAUAGUCCAACGCUCUAACCACUAGACUACCUAGAGAAAUUCAUGGUGAAUAGUGUAUUGUCAUUUUGGAGUCACUUUUAUAAUGUAAAUCAACACUGCUACGUUAAUGUGGAUGCUACCAUGAUUACCGGUAAUCAUGAAUUAAUCAUGAAUAAUGAUGAGUGAGGAAAGCUAAGGGCAUAAAUGUCAUACCCCACCAAAAGAUGCUAACCUCUUGUUACUGGUAAUGGUAAAAAGUUAGCAUGUAUUGGGGGAAUGAUCUUUGUGAGUCUGUAGAUGCAUGAAGUGCAUUCAAUUUCUAAACUGUUAAACAGAUAUGUAUGAAAAUAGCCUCAAAUAAAAGGUGACUUUCUGUACUGUCACUGUCAAAUUAAACAUUUUAGUGUCACUGUCCAAGUAAAUACAUAGGGCUAUAGGGAAAGUAGACAACGGAAGCUAAACUACAGUAGAGGGGUAUAGUAAUAUGUUACAUUGAAAAUUGCAGUUGGGAUUGAAAUUCAGAAAUAUACUUGAUUUGCAGUACCCUCAUCUUCUGCAAACAAGUCUAGUUUUGCCAGUGUGUCAUUUAAAAAAAAAUCAUUUAUAAUAGUUCUGUAGAUGUCACUCUCUUUUCGAGUGCACAAUUCAGUAUACUACGCUUAUUGCAAUGGUCAUAGAUAUCAUGGUACUUAGGCAGACAGAUCCACAACACAGAGAUACAGUACAGAUGCAAUCACAGUCUAAAAAAAACAUGGCUAUGUUGCAUUCAUUUAAUAUUUUAUUUAUGUACAUAUACAUAUUGCAUUAGAGGCAGAGAGCAGUAGGGAUCCUCUGACCUCACAGGCAGCACAUUGGUCCUCAGUUUGAGAAGGACUGGAGUUCUGUGGCAGAUCUAGGGAUAGCUUUUCAAGAAUGUUUUCCAAAUGCGCCAUCUAAUAUUAUUGCAUAAAGUUCAGGGCCUUUUAUUGUUGGGAAAACCUGCACCAAUGUACUGUAUAUUUCCAAUCUUAUGCUUCUAUUUUCUGUCAUUCAGGAAAAACUGACAUGAGAUUUAGAUCUCCACAGAGUGUUUCUGGCUCAGGGUCAGGUGGCUCUCAGCUGCACUCUCUCUCUCUCUCUCACAUCUCUGCUGUUUUUUUGUUGUGUGGUUUUUUUUUAAUCUACUGUUGACUUUUCUCUGUUUUGCCUUAGAGCUUUUCUAUUUUGGAAUAAAUGAUGCUUAACCUCCUACUGUUGUGUUCCUCUGCCUUCAUUGUGCUUGGUAGUAGACACGAUUCGUGACAAAAGUCAACCCGACAAAGGUUAUGGCAGG
This is a long non-coding RNA of Oncorhynchus tshawytscha (Chinook salmon), 2123 nucleotides long. NCBI's taxonomy places the organism in Eukaryota, Metazoa, Chordata, Actinopteri, Salmoniformes, Salmonidae. The record is from Ensembl.